Cinara cedri is the source of this 295-nucleotide non-coding RNA. Lineage: Eukaryota; Metazoa; Arthropoda; Insecta; Hemiptera; Aphididae. The record is from the annotation of a GenBank genome assembly.
UAUGUGAUACUCACGAGAUACGAAUAUAAUAUUUCUGAUUAUGGUAAACUAAUAAUAUUAAUAUACACCUACGUUUUCGACUACUGGAAUGCGUGAAGGAUAUUUUUUUUUUCCCUCCCGGACAUUUCAACGCAUUUGUAGUGAUUUGCUUACGUCGGGAAUACGUGCAGGGAUAACGUAAAAUGAUCGCACGGAACCCAACACCACAAUUUAAUAGUAUUAUCAUUAUAACUGCAGAUGAUACACAUUGCCAUCACAGGCAGCGACGUAUGGAUUGGUUAUAGAGUGGGUUUAC